RNAcentral lists this ribosomal RNA (496 nucleotides) under uncultured bacterium. Its description in RNAcentral is "partial 16S ribosomal RNA". It matches the Rfam family "Bacterial small subunit ribosomal RNA", at positions 29 to 507 of the family's 1533-position model. The record is from RNAcentral.
AUGAACGCUGGCGGCGUGCCUAAUACAUGCAAGUCGAGCGAACAGACGAGGAGCUUGCUCCUCUGACGUUAGCGGCGGACGGGUGAGUAACACGUGGAUAACCUACCUAUAAGACUGGGAUAACUUCGGGAAACCGGAGCUAAUACCGGAUAAUAUAUUGAACCGCAUGGUUCAAUAGUGAAAGACGGUUUUGCUGUCACUUAUAGAUGGAUCCGCGCCGCAUUAGCUAGUUGGUAAGGUAACGGCUUACCAAGGCAACGAUGCGUAGCCGACCUGAGAGGGUGAUCGGCCACACUGGAACUGGGCCACGGUCCAGACUCCUACGGGAGGCAGCAGUAGGGAAUCUUCCGCAAUGGGCGAAAGCCUGACGGAGCAACGCCGCGUGAGUGAUGAAGGUCUUCGGAUCGUAAAACUCUGUUAUUAGGGAAGAACAAAUGUGUAAGUAACUAUGCACGUCUUGACGGUACCUAAUCAGAAAGCCACGGCUAACUACGUG